RNAcentral lists this ribosomal RNA (239 nucleotides) under Pulvinula sp. RNAcentral's name for it is "partial large subunit ribosomal RNA". It matches the Rfam family "Eukaryotic large subunit ribosomal RNA", at positions 104 to 339 of the family's 3401-position model. The record is from RNAcentral. Lineage: Eukaryota; Fungi; Ascomycota; Pezizomycetes; Pezizales; Pulvinulaceae.
AAAGCUCAAAUUUUAAAUCUGGCAUCUUCGGUGUCCGAGUUGUAAUUUGGAGAGAUAUCUUCGGUUUGGAUGCUGUCCGAAGUUCCUUGGAACAGGACGUCACAGAGGGUGAGAAUCCCGUAUGUGGAUGGCAAUUCCAUUCCAUGUGAAGUGUCUUCGACGAGUCGAGUUGUUUGGGAAUGCAGCUCAAAAUGGGUGGUAAAUGUCAUCUAAAGCUAAAUAUUGGCGAGAGACCGAUA